AUGAUUAUUUUGUCACCCUGCCAAAUUUUAGUCCAGCAUUUUCAGCUGAGAAAAAAUAACAUGUCCAACAGGGAGGACAGGUAAGGGGUAUUUGGCAGUGUCCCUGCAUUAGGCUGACCUACAUUGUGAGAGCUAACAUACAAGAGCUGUGUGUUGGGAGUACGAGUGUAGUGAGGGCAUUCACUUGUAGGGAAGGGACUUUCCUUUGACAGUUUUUUAUCAUUUUUCAAGUGAACUUUGUGCUGGGAGGAAGGGAGUGAAAAAAGCUGAGUUUGCUGUGUGAGUUGUACAGACACAUUUAACACAAGGAUUCCCAGGUAGCAGCACCACUGUCCCUGGCCUGAUGGCAAGCUGGAAUAGGUCAGCUUUUGUGUCAGCCUACGCCAUUCCUUCAGAAACUGCCCCUGGCUCCUGAUUUUCCAAAUGAACAAGAUCCCAUCACUUCUCACUACCCGAGAUAGAGUCACCUGUCACCCCCAUGCAGCCCAGGCCCACUCCAUUUCACACCAGCUCCUGUGAGAAGCCUCGUCCCUUACCUCACCAGUGUGUGGUCCCUGCUUCACCUCAAUCACUGUCACACAAGUGAGGAAGAGCAAAUGGAGAAACCCAAGCUCAGGCCAGAUCUUGUUCUUGUCUCUGAUGGCAUAAAAGGAGAGGCCAGAAUGUAGGCAGGGGGACGUGGAAGCCAGACACCAGGCUCAGUUCCUCAGCCAGCAUCUCGUACCAGCAGCUCCCUCUGAACUUUCCCAAUGCCAGCAGUGGGAUGGCAGCUGACACCAGCCACCAGACAGCCCAGGUGGUAGCCAGUGCUAUGCUGGCCUUUACUGGGACAAAUACUGAAACCUUCUCUCUCUGUAUCACUCUCCAUCCUUAUCUGCAAAGUUGUGUUGUGUACUAUUAGUAAACUAGAUAUAUCAGGCAGAUACUAUCUGUAAAAAUUGUGUCCCAUAGUUAACUGAAAGCUCUUGAAUAAAAUUCAUGAAGAAAAAAAUAAAUAAAUCUGU
This is a long non-coding RNA of Anas platyrhynchos (mallard), 1004 nucleotides long. RefSeq lists it as uncharacterized. The record is from RefSeq and is a predicted model, not a curated record. Lineage: Eukaryota; Metazoa; Chordata; Aves; Anseriformes; Anatidae.